ACAGGCGAUGGCUAGCUUGUGGCCGCAGACGUGAAAACCAAGCGAAGAUAUGUUUUAUAAAAGCCGUCUCGUUCACAGGCGAUGGCUAGCUUGUGGCCGCAGACGUGAAAACCAAGCGAAGAUAUGUUUUAUAAAAGCCGUCUCGUUCACAGGCGAUGGCUAGCUUGUGGCCGCAGACGUGAAAACCAAGCGAAGAUAUGUUUUAUAAAAGCCGUCUCGUUCACAGGCGAUGGCUAGCUUGUGGCCGCAGACGUGAAAACCAAGCGAAGAUAUGUUUUAUAAAAGCCGUCUCGUUCACAGGCGAUGGCUAGCUUGUGGCCGCAGACGUGAAAACCAAGCGAAGAUAUGUUUUAUAAAAGCCGUCUCGUUCACAGGCGAUGGCUAGCUUGUGGCCGCAGACGUGAAAACCAAGCGAAGAUAUGUUUUAUAAAAGCCGUCUCGUUCACAGGCGAUGGCUAGCUUGUGGCCGCAGACGUGAAAACCAAGCGAAGAUAUGUUUUAUAAAAGCCGUCUCGUUCACAGGCGAUGGCUAGCUUGUGGCCGCAGACGUGAAAACCAAGCGAAGAUAUGUUUUAUAAAAGCCGUCUCGUUCACAGGCGAUGGCUAGCUUGUGGCCGCAGACGUGAAAACCAAGCGAAGAUAUGUUUUAUAAAAGCCGUCUCGUUCACAGGCGAUGGCUAGCUUGUGGCCGCAGACGUGAAAACCAAGCGAAGAUAUGUUUUAUAAAAGCCGUCUCGUUCACAGGCGAUGGCUAGCUUGUGGCCGCAGACGUGAAAACCAAGCGAAGAUAUGUUUUAUAAAAGCCGUCUCGUUCACAGGCGAUGGCUAGCUUGUGGCCGCAGACGUGAAAACCAAGCGAAGAUAUGUUUUAUAAAAGCCGUCUCGUUCACAGGCGAUGGCUAGCUUGUGGCCGCAGACGUGAAAACCAAGCGAAGAUAUGUUUUAUAAAAGCCGUCUCGUUCACAGGCGAUGGCUAGCUUGUGGCCGCAGACGUGAAAACCAAGCGAAGAUAUGUUUUAUAAAAGCCGUCUCGUUCACAGGCGAUGGCUAGCUUGUGGCCGCAGACGUGAAAACCAAGCGAAGAUAUGUUUUAUAAAAGCCGUCUCGUUCACAGGCGAUGGCUAGCUUGUGGCCGCAGACGUGAAAACCAAGCGAAGAUAUGUUUUAUAAAAGCCGUCUCGUUCACAGGCGAUGGCUAGCUUGUGGCCGCAGACGUGAAAACCAAGCGAAGAUAUGUUUUAUAAAAGCCGUCUCGUUCACAGGCGAUGGCUAGCUUGUGGCCGCAGACGUGAAAACCAAGCGAAGAUAUGUUUUAUAAAAGCCGUCUCGUUCACAGGCGAUGGCUAGCUUGUGGCCGCAGACGUGAAAACCAAGCGAAGAUAUGUUUUAUAAAAGCCGUCUCGUUCACAGGCGAUGGCUAGCUUGUGGCCGCAGACGUGAAAACCAAGCGAAGAUAUGUUUUAUAAAAGCCGUCUCGUUCACAGGCGAUGGCUAGCUUGUGGCCGCAGACGUGAAAACCAAGCGAAGAUAUGUUUUAUAAAAGCCGUCUCGUUCACAGGCGAUGGCUAGCUUGUGGCCGCAGACGUGAAAACCAAGCGAAGAUAUGUUUUAUAAAAGCCGUCUCGUUCACAGGCGAUGGCUAGCUUGUGGCCGCAGACGUGAAAACCAAGCGAAGAUAUGUUUUAUAAAAGCCGUCUCGUUCACAGGCGAUGGCUAGCUUGUGGCCGCAGACGUGAAAACCAAGCGAAGAUAUGUUUUAUAAAAGCCGUCUCGUUCACAGGCGAUGGCUAGCUUGUGGCCGCAGACGUGAAAACCAAGCGAAGAUAUGUUUUAUAAAAGCCGUCUCGUUCACAGGCGAUGGCUAGCUUGUGGCCGCAGACGUGAAAACCAAGCGAAGAUAUGUUUUAUAAAAGCCGUCUCGUUCACAGGCGAUGGCUAGCUUGUGGCCGCAGACGUGAAAACCAAGCGAAGAUAUGUUUUAUAAAAGCCGUCUCGUUCACAGGCGAUGGCUAGCUUGUGGCCGCAGACGUGAAAACCAAGCGAAGAUAUGUUUUAUAAAAGCCGUCUCGUUCACAGGCGAUGGCUAGCUUGUGGCCGCAGACGUGAAAACCAAGCGAAGAUAUGUUUUAUAAAAGCCGUCUCGUUCACAGGCGAUGGCUAGCUUGUGGCCGCAGACGUGAAAACCAAGCGAAGAUAUGUUUUAUAAAAGCCGUCUCGUUCACAGGCGAUGGCUAGCUUGUGGCCGCAGACGUGAAAACCAAGCGAAGAUAUGUUUUAUAAAAGCCGUCUCGUUCACAGGCGAUGGCUAGCUUGUGGCCGCAGACGUGAAAACCAAGCGAAGAUAUGUUUUAUAAAAGCCGUCUCGUUCACAGG
RNAcentral lists this long non-coding RNA (2373 nucleotides) under Centruroides sculpturatus (bark scorpion). Its description in RNAcentral is "uncharacterized LOC111621891". Lineage: Eukaryota; Metazoa; Arthropoda; Arachnida; Scorpiones; Buthidae. The record is from RNAcentral.